Molecule: long non-coding RNA, 3464 nt
Filed under: Homo sapiens (human)
Lineage: Eukaryota; Metazoa; Chordata; Mammalia; Primates; Hominidae
Description: HSALNT0400222
Source: RNAcentral
UUGGCAUCACCAGUUAAAAGAGAUUGAGAACAAGAACGUUCUUUCAGCGUGCCCACACCCCUGCCUGGCUUAACGGGUUUGAAAUGUGAGGGGAAGCCAAGUAGCCAGCUUGCCUCUGUUACUCAUGGCCCAGUGGGUCGGCUCAUGACCCUCAGGCCAGCCUGUGCCACUUUGGUGACUGGUGGCUACUUUGUGGUCAACUCUUGAAGCAUCAGCACAGCAUGAACAAACCAAAAGUGAAAUUCAGAAAUGGCUGCAGAAGCCAAACUGUUACCCAGCCCCUCUGAAAUCCCCCAAGCACUGGGGGAGCCACAACCAGUUUGGGGGCCAUUAGGAACAUUUUAAUCUAUAAGGCUAUGUGCUAUGGAGGGGUAGGGGAGAGAUGGUUGCAGGAGGCCAUGGGAGGGUUGAGACCCACAGGCCAGAGUCCAGGCCAUAAGACCCUCAUGAUGAGAAUGUUGACAAUAACAAAAUACUACUACUACUACUGCUGCUACUACUACUGCUGCUGCUGCUGCUGCUGCUGCUGCUGCUACUACUGCUACUACUUACGUUUUAACAUUUUUCAGAGCUUUGCUAUUUAUGAUUAUUCUGUCCUAGAUGAUUGCAGCAACAUUAUGAAGUACGUCUCAGGUUGAGUCCCCUAGAAACAGACCCUGAGAUGGAGAUUUGCAUGUAGGGGUUCGUUGGGGAGGGGAUCUUGGGAGUCCCACCUGGGAAGGGUAAGAGAGCAGUGGGGCUUUGAUGCUGCUGCAACAGAGGCCUCCACUGGCCCCUGGGGAGCUUGGAGCUUUGGAAACCUGCAGAGUUGAAGCAAGGGUUCCCCGUGUCCCUUCCAUAGGCUGCUCAUUAGACCAGCGGGGGGUUUGGUGAGGAUGCAGAAGGCGCUCAGCCACCAGUGUGGAAGGGGUACCCUGGCCUUGGAGCAGAAUCUGAAGAGGACACUGAGCACCCACCACACAUGGGCACUCUCAGGAUCUCUGCUACAGAGCAGGUGCUGAGUAGUGAGAUUUGCCCAGGGAAUGAGCCUACCUGGUGGGAUCAUCAUGUGGACCUGGAGGUCCUGACUUACUCAAGACCACUCAGCUACUAAGUGGCCACACUGGGAUUCCAGCUAAAGACUGUUUUAGGUUAGAGCUUCCUGAUCUCAGAAUGGACCCCCUGACCUAAGAAUAGGACCCCCCCCCACCUCAGGAUGGACUCCCCAACAUUAGAAUAAACUCUCUGACCUCAGAAUGAAUUCCUGGGCCUAAGAAUGAACUUUCUGACCUCAGAAUGGAUUCCCUGACCUCAGAAUAGACUCUCUGACCUCAGAAUGGACCCCCUGACCUAAGAAUAAAUCCCCCACCUAAGAAUGAACCUCCAACCUGAGAAUGAACUCCCGAAGCAAUAAUGGAUUCCCUAACCUAAGAAUAGACUCUUCAACCUAAGAAUAAACUUCCUGACCCAAGCAUGAAUCCCCUGACCUAAUAAUAGACUCCCCAACCUAAACAGGAACUUCCUGACCUAGGAAUGAACUGCCUGACCUCAGAAUGAACUUCUUUACUUAAGAAUGAACUUUCUGCCAUCAGAAUGGACCCUUGACCUCAGAAUGAACUCCCCGACCUCAGAAUGAACUCCCUGACCUCAGAAUGGACUCCCUGACCUCAGAAUGGACUCUCUGACCUCAGAAUGAACUCUCUGAACUCAGAAUGAACUCUCUGAACUCAGAAUGAACUCCCUGACCUCAGAAUGGAUUCCCCGACCUAAGAAUGGACUCCCUGACCUAGGAAUGAACUCUCUGACCUCAGAAUGAACUUUCUGAACUCAGAAUGGACUUCCUGACCUCAGAAUGGAUUCCCUGACCUAAGAAUGAACUCCUUGAUCAUUUUGCAGAAACCAGUUACUCAAAGAGCUAUGCUGUUCUUAUGCCCUGUGAUGGAUCUACUGGGGAUAGAGAUAAGAGCCUGUCUGCCUGCCUCAGCCUGUGCACCUGAUCGUUCUUUUCCUGAAGCAACUUGUCAUGCCUUCACAGUGCACACCUGACCAGUUCCAAACCAAAAAGGGAUGUGCCUGGACGUGUGUGGAUAGAUGGCUGAGGGAGACAUUAUUGUUGUUGUUGAGCCUCCAUCAUCUCUCACCUGGACUGGUGCAGUCUUCUCCAAGGUAAAGAUGGCUAAUGGUCUCCCGCAUUCAUCCCCCUUUUUCCUUAGGAACAGAACUCCCGAUUAUUUUGAAGUGGGAGGGCACAUGGUAGCUCAGAAUACAGACCUGCAUUUGCCAGCCUCCCCUGGAGCUCUGGCCAAUAGGAAAUAAACAGAAGUGUCCUAUACGACUUCUAGGAAAUACACUUAAAAGGACAGAAUGGGUUCUUCUUUGACCUUUCCUUACAGCAGCUUGCUGGAAUGCAGGCGUGCUGGCUGGGACUGAACCACCCUCUGGGACUGUGAGGCAGCAAUGUUGGAUGGCGGGGAAGCAGGCUGGAAGAAAAUUUAAGGUCUCCAUUACCAGCCUCAAUCGGCCUAUCUCUAUACUUGGUUUACAUUAGAGAGAGAAGCAACUGUGUUACUGAAGUCAUUGUUAUUUGGGAAUUUUGGCCCCAUGCAGCUGAUCCUAAUUAGCUACAUCUCUGAUAUAGUUUCCUGCCCCUGCCCUUACCCAACCCCCUCAUUUUUUAUUUCCAACAUAGCAACCACAGUGGUUCUUUAGAAACUUGUCAGUCCCCCCCAGCUCAAACCCUCCUUUGGCUUCCCGCUCACUCUGACUAUAAGCCAAAAUCGAAUCAAAGCCAAGUCCCUGCAUGGCAUGCACCUUCCAUCUCCCCACCUCAUCUUCUCCCCCUUGUACCCUUGUUCACACCAAUUCAGCUCCAGUGCCCUGUUUGCUGUUCUCAGAGCAAGCUGUGUUUGCGCCUUUCCCAGGGCUGAGGGUUAGAGGUUAGCUGUUCUUGCAGUGGACGCUGACAGGGCUGGCUUUCUCUUUUCAUCCUAGUUUCUGCUCAAAUGUCACCUCAUCUGAGAGACCUUCCCUGACCCUCCUACCUAAAACAGCUCACACCUUCCCCAUCCCUCUCUAGCUGAGUGCCUUUUUUCUCUACACGUGAUAAGGACAGGAGACAGGGAAAUACUGAGAAGUGGGCGGUUCCCCAGCAAAGAUCCCACCCUCAAGCCUGGAAACCCGUGGCCCUAAAUGGGAACAGCCCUUCCUGUUUUCAAGCCCAAAAGUUGCCUUUUGGCCUGCUGUGCCCCCCUAUCCUGUACUUGUACAAACCCCAGACCCUAGGCUUCAGAAGCAGACGAGGGAACGAGCAGAAGAACAGAAGAACAGCAGAAUGGCAUGGCAGAGAGAAGAAAGGGACCAUCUGAACGCCAAGAGAAAUUCAGCUGGGGGAGGUCAGAGAGGAGAUAGACUGCAGGACAGCCAAGCUCCAGGGGAAGAUCAUCUUCCCACUCCAUCCCCUUUCCAGCUCCCCAUCCAUCCCGCUG